Molecule: small RNA, 130 nt
Filed under: human gut metagenome
Description: Clostridiales-1 RNA
Rfam family: Clostridiales-1 RNA
Source: RNAcentral
UGACCCGGAGCGUGCUUGCACGCACAGGGACAUGGAUAUUGGACGGGCAAGCCAGUAUGAGUAAGGAGGACGAUAGUCCGGAUUACGAAUACUGGCGGCGAUUGCGGGAGCACAAGGUGCGGAGCAAUCG